GAAUUCUACAAAGAGGCUAUGGGAAAGAAACCUGGAAAGUACCCUUGGCUGUGUACAUUUGAGUAAAGAGAGCACUAUAAAAUCAAAAACCAAUGAAAUGGUUUCCAGAACACAGAACUAUUAAGCUUAAGAAAAGGACAGAAGGAACUGAAGAGAGAGGAACUGUUUUGGAGCAUCACACUUCCACCUCAGAAGAAAUAAGGAAGGAAGGAGGAGGGUGUUCCCACGGCUCUUCAACCAGGCCGGCUCUUCAGCCUACAUCCCCAUCUCAUCAAGUAAAAGGGAUUUUUCAACUGGACCAACCAGAUGGUUUAACAGUGCACUCCCACACCAUUCAACUACGCAAGGGAGAUACACUUAACAUAUGCAGUCGUAUAACACCUACUAACAUUUUCAAACAUUAAACCUUUAAAAAAGAGUUCUAAAGAAAUAGAAGCUUGAAGUAUCAUCUCUCAAGUAUAUAGACACUACUUCAUGGUGUGGUAAUAUAUGCAUAUAGAAGCUAGUAAACACCUCCAGGAGAUGCAAAAGGAAUUAGAACUGCCACAAGGUGCAAGCAAAACCUUGAGCUUCUUUAAAAUAUGAAGACUUCGAAGUUAUUUAUCCAAACCAACCUGAUCAUUUCUUAAGAGUGAAUAUACCUUGGAAGACGUGUCCUGCCUUUAGUAGCGUCACAAUGGAUUACAUCCUCUAUAAAGCAGUCUGGGGUGAGAAAAUCGAAUUUGGACACCGUUGAGGAGACUAUUGCAGUCAUCCAAGCUCAAGAUGGUGGAGCUUCAUCCUUGAGAAUAACCAAUGGGGAUAGAUUUAAGAGACACUUAGAGUCUGCAGCCAACAGGGCUGAAUGAGCAGAGAGUUAUGAUUCAGAAGAUCAUCUAAAAUUGAACAGCUGCCACUACUGGCAAUAAGUCUACUGCCAUUUGGUAGAUAACCUUCUUAUCACACAGAAAAAUAUCAGUACAGACAAAUAGACCGCAAAGAAAAUGAGACCAUCAGCAAAGAAGAUAAAGAAGUUUGUACAAAGCAACUUUUUAUAAAUGGAUGGCUGUCAGGCAAAAAUAAAUUUCCUGUGGACAAGACCAAGAGCAAGAUAUACCCGGCUUUUAAAAUUGAAAACCAUAGCCUAGAAUUCUGAUUGAAUAUGCAUAACAAGAUGGGAGCAUAAGAAGAAAAUUUUUAUUGAUCUUUAAAAUAUAAACCAAAUGACUCUCACUACUGAUUUUAGACUUGUGAAUUAAAACAGGGGUCCAUGAACUAUGCGUAGAGGGUCAAAUCUGGCCCACUGCCUGGUUAUAUAAAUAAAGUGUUGUUGAAACACA
RNAcentral lists this long non-coding RNA (1319 nucleotides) under Homo sapiens (human). Its description in RNAcentral is "long intergenic non-protein coding RNA 343". The record is from RNAcentral. Lineage: Eukaryota; Metazoa; Chordata; Mammalia; Primates; Hominidae.